This 513-nucleotide ribosomal RNA is filed under the name uncultured bacterium. RNAcentral describes it as "partial 16S ribosomal RNA". It matches the Rfam family "Bacterial small subunit ribosomal RNA", at positions 28 to 523 of the family's 1533-position model. The record is from RNAcentral.
GACGAACGCUGGCGGCAUGCCUAAUACAUGCAAGUCGAGCGAACAGAUGAAGUGCUUGCACUUCUGACGUUAGCGGCGAACGGGUGAGUAACACGUAAGGAAUCUACCUAUAAGCGGGGGAUAACAUUCGGAAACGGGUGCUAAUACCGCAUAGUAUCUUCCUCCGCAUGGAAGAAGAUUGAAAGACGGCUCUGCUGUCACUUAUAGAUGACCUUGCGGUGCAUUAGUUAGUUGGUGGGGUAACGGCCUACCAAGACGAUGAUGCAUAGCCGACCUGAGAGGGUGAUCGCCCACAUUGGGACUGAGACACGGCCCAAACUCCUACGGGAGGCAGCAGUAGGGAAUCUUCCGCAAUGGGCGAAAGCCUGACGGAGCAAUGCCGCGUGAGUGAAGAAGGCCUUCGGGUCGUAAAACUCUGUUAUAAGAGAAGAACAAAUUGUAGAGUAACUGCUACAGUCUUGACGGUAUCUUAUCAGAAAGCCACGGCUAACUACGUGCCAGCCGCCGCCGUAA